GUUUGGACCCCCUCUCCCCACCAGCCACUCUUUCUGACAACGUUUCUGGGCCCUGAUGAUUACUGUUACUUGCCUUUCGUUGCUUGCUAGCUUUUCAGACUAAAGGAAUCAUUACACCGUCGACAGCACCAGAUCAACUGGUUUGCACUGGCAUGGGCAGAAGAAAAUCUAAUCACUGUGAGUGGUGAGUGGUGGUAAAAACUAGUCAGAAUGACAAAAAGCAAAAGGAACUGAGAGGAUAGAAACUAUCUUCCCAGAUGGAGGUUUCAAACAACUGAUUUGUAAGCUGGCUUUGGUUUAUAAGUUGAAGACAGGCUGAAUGCUUCCAGG
Long non-coding RNA from Prionailurus viverrinus (fishing cat), 330 nucleotides. RefSeq lists it as uncharacterized. The transcript has 3 exons. The record is from RefSeq and is a predicted model, not a curated record. NCBI's taxonomy places the organism in Eukaryota, Metazoa, Chordata, Mammalia, Carnivora, Felidae.